GCGAUCCCCACAGGCGCCCCAGAGCCGCCAAGUCUCCUUCACCAGGACAGAGACCGACAACGACAGCGUCCCCAGCUACGAGAACGAGGAGCGACCCCGUGCGGACGACGACGACGACAACGACUAUAACAACGAGAUCUACACCCCCGGCUACGU
Molecule: RNA transcript, 156 nt
Organism: Terrapene triunguis (Three-toed box turtle)
Lineage: Eukaryota; Metazoa; Chordata; Testudines; Emydidae
Exons: 3
Source: RefSeq, a predicted model, not a curated record